Long non-coding RNA from Pteropus alecto (black flying fox), 445 nucleotides. RefSeq lists it as uncharacterized. Lineage: Eukaryota; Metazoa; Chordata; Mammalia; Chiroptera; Pteropodidae. The transcript has 2 exons. The record is from RefSeq and is a predicted model, not a curated record.
GGUUCAGAUUAGCCGUGUCCUACACCGCUUGACCGGAGUGACACGAGUCUGCAGGGCCGAGCCCAAGGCCUGGAGAUAGGAGCAGCCAGCAAGAAUGCCCGGAAUGUUUGCCUUCCUUCGGACUCUGCGGAGGCACACAGACCAUGGGGAUUCUGUCUGCGGUGACAGCCUUAACAUUUGCCAGAGCCCUGGACGCCGCUGUAGAAAUGGCAUUGCCCACCCUGAAAGUGAGAAGCAAAGCGUAGAGAAAUGCAGAGAACUCGAGAGCAGUUACUCUGCCUCCAGGAUCAACCUUGCACCAAAGAAAAAUAACCCAGAGAAAUGAUUCUGCCGCCCGAAAUGAAGCCGGGAUCAAAUAGCUGCUGAUCAGAGCAAAUAUUUAAAUUGGAUAAGUCGAAUUGAGCAUUAUUAAAUAAAGCUCAUUUAAUAUGUCUCGAACAGAAAA